AUGCGAUUUGUCCUACCGUGUAGGGUCUGUUUGGUUUACAACCAAAAUGAGCCAUACCAAAAAUUGGCUUGCCUACAGUAUUUGGUUGCUAUUUGGAUUGAGGCCGAAAAGUUGGUUUGUCCAGCCCGUCACGGGCGCGACCGCACUAGUCCAGGGAGAGCGUUGGCGAAAUCAGGACGGCAAAAACGCUCGCCAACGAAUUGACAACGCUGGUCAAUCUCUGAUCCUUAGUGGGCCCCGGUGAUUUUUUAUUCUUUUUUUCUCCGCUAUUCAUGGAAGCAGAGCACUCUCUCUUCUCAAUCCGGUGGGUGGAAAAGUCCAUCAACUUUUUCAUUUUUGUUUAUUUCUAAUCCAUGAUUUACCUCUAAAUCUUGUUUACUGCCUCGCGAACCGAGAAUUUGAUCUAAGUUAAAUGUUUGAGCACUAAGUUAGUUGCAAACAUAAAAGGUUGGCCAAAAAAAAUUAGAUGCAAAUCAAACAACACCUAUUUGCCAAAAUAUUGGUCAUGCCCUUGUUUUGGUCGUGCCAAUAUUUGUCAAAAAUUUGGUGAGGCAGACUGGGG
Molecule: long non-coding RNA, 562 nt
Filed under: Brachypodium distachyon (stiff brome)
Lineage: Eukaryota; Viridiplantae; Streptophyta; Magnoliopsida; Poales; Poaceae
Description: long non-coding RNA (BDIS_LNC002288)
Source: RNAcentral